ACACGACCGUACCGCAAACCGACACUGGUGCGCGAGAUGAGUAUUCUAAGGCGCUUGAGAGAACUCAGGAGAAGGAACUCGGCAAAUUGACACCGUAACUUCGGAAGAAGGUGUGCCUUUAGUAGGUGAAGUCCCUCCCGGAUGGAGCCCAAUGAGGUUGCAAAAAAUCGGUGGCUGCGACUGUUUAUUAAAAACACAGCACUCUGCAAACACGAAAGUACGUAUAGGGUGUGACGCCUGCCCGGUGCUGGAAGAUUAAAUGAUGGGGUGCAAGCUCUUGAUUGAAGUCCCAGUAAACGGCGGCCGUAACCAUAACGGUCCUAAGGUAGCGAAAUUCCUUGUCGGGUAAGUUCCGACCUGCACGAAUGGCGUAACGAUGGCCACACUGUCUCCUCCUGAGACUCAGCGAAGUUGAAAUGUUUGUGAUGAUGCAAUCUCCCCGCGGAAAGACGGAAAGACCCCAUGAACCUUUACUGUAGCUUUGUAUUGGACUUUGAACAGAUCUGUGUAGGAUAGGUGGGAGGCUUUGAAGCAGGGUCGCUAGAUCUUGUGGAGCCAACGUUGAAAUACCACCCUGGUGUGUUUGAGGUUCUAACCUAGGCCCGUAAUCCGGGUUGGGGACAGUGCAUGGUAGGCAGUUUGACUGGGGCGGUCUCCUCCCAAAGUGUAACGGAGGAGUUCGAAGGUACGCUAGUUACGGUCGGACAUCGUGACGAUAGUGCAAUGGCAUAAGCGUGCUUAACUGCGAGACUGACAAGUCGAGCAGAUGCGAAAGCAGGACAUAGUGAUCCGGUGGUUCUGUAUGGAAGGGCCAUCGCUCAACGGAUAAAAGGUACUCUGGGGAUAACAGGCUGAUACCGCCCAAGAGUUCAUAUCGACGGCGGUGUUUGGCACCUCGAUGUCGGCUCAUCUCAUCCUGGGGCUGUAGCCGGUCCCAAGGGUAUGGCUGUUCGCCAUUUAAAGAGGUACGUGAGCUGGGUUUAAAACGUCGUGAGACAGUUUGGUCCCUAUCUUCCGUGGGCGCUGCAGAUUUGAGGAAGCCUGCUCCUAGUACGAGAGGACCGGAGUGGACGCACCUCUGGUGUAUCGGUUGUCACGCCAGUGGCAUUGCCGAGUAGCUAUGUGCGGAAGAGAUAACCGCUGAAAGCAUCUAAGCGGGAAACUCGUUUCAAGAUGAGAUCUGCCGGGGCCUUGAGCCCCCUGAAGAGUCGUUCAAGACCAGGACGUUGAUAGGUCGGGUGUGGAAGCGCAGUAAUGCGUUAAGCUAACCGAUACUAAUUGCUCGUGCGGCUUGACCU
RNAcentral lists this ribosomal RNA (1298 nucleotides) under metagenome. RNAcentral's name for it is "bacterial LSU rRNA". It matches the Rfam family "Bacterial large subunit ribosomal RNA", at positions 1636 to 2925 of the family's 2925-position model. The record is from RNAcentral.